AUAUCCCCAAAGUGUCUCCAGUCCAUUCAAAAAUGCCCCAAAUGCGUCUUCAGAUAUCCCCAGAAAUAUUCUGAAUUUCCCCAAUUUCCCAAUUUUUCCUAAUUUUUCCCAAAAUCCCCAUUUCCCCCAAUUUCCCCAUUUCCCUAAAAUCCUCAUUUUUCCCAUUUUCCCAGUUUCCCAAUUUUUCCCCAUUUCCCCCAAUUUCCCAAUUUUCCCAAAAUCCCCAUUUUUUUUCCAUUUUCCCCAUUUCCCCAUUUUUCCCCAAAAUCCCCAAUUUCCCAAUUUUUUGCCAAAUCCCCAUUUUCCCCCAAUUUCCCAAAAUCCCCAUUUUUCCCAACUUCCCCAUUUUUGCCAAAUCCCCAUUUCCCCCCAAUUUCCCAUUUUCCCCAAAAUCCCAUUUUCCCCAUUUCCCCCAAUUUCCCAAUUUUUCCCAUUUUUCCCCCUUUUCCCCAAUUUCCCCCCAAAAUCCCCAUUUCCCCAAAAUCUCCAAAAUCCCCAUUUUCCCCAAUUUCCCCAAUUUCCCCAAAAUCCCCAUUUCCCCCAAUUUCCCCAUUUCCCUAAAAUCCUCAUUUUUCCCAUUUUCCCAGUUUCCCAAUUUUUCCCCAUUUCCCCAAUUUCCCAAUUUUUCCCAUUUUCCUCAUUUUCCCCCAAUUUCCCCAUUUUUCCCAAUCUCCUGAUUUCCCCAAAAUCCCCAUUUUCCCAAGAUCCCAAUUUCCCCCAAUUUCCCAAAAUCCCCAUUUUUCCCAAUUUCCCCAUUUUCCCCAGUUUCUCAAUUUUUCCCAAUUUUUCCCAAUUUCCCAAAAUCCCCGUUUUCCCCCAAUUUCCCAAUUUUUCUCAAAACCCCCAUUUUUCCCAAAAUCCCCAUUUUCCCCAUUUUUCCCCAUUUUUCCCAAUUUCCCCAAAAUCCCCAUUUUCAUCAAAAACGCCCAAAAUCACCCCAAAAUUCAGCCCAGAAAUCCCCAAAUUGGGCCCCAAAAUCUCCAAGUUUGUCUCCAAAUUCAGCCCCAAAAAAUCCCAAAAUUUGGCUUCAAAAUCCCCCAAAUUUGGCCCCAAAUUCUCCAGGUUUAGCCCUAAAAUCAGCCCCAAAAUUUGGCUCUAAAAUCCCCAAAUUCAGCCCCAAAAUCUGGAUCCAAAACCCCAAAAUUUGGCUCCAAAAUCCUCAAAUUCAUCCCAAAAACCCCCAAAAUUUGGCCCCAAAUUGGGCCCCAAAAUCUCCAAGUUUGUCUCCAAAUUCAGCCCCAAAUUUUCCUCAAAAAAACCCCAAAAUCAGCCCCAAAAUUGGCUCUAAAAUCCCCAAAUUUGGCCCCAAAAUUCGCUUUAAAAUCCCCAAAUUUGGCCCCAAAAAUGGCUUUAAAAUCCCCAAAUUUCACCCCAAAAUUGGAUCUAAAAUCCCAAAUUUGGCCCCAAAAUUGGCCCCAAAAUCCCAAAAUUCAGCCCCCAAAUUCGCUUUAAAAUCCCCAAAAUUUGGCCCCAAAAUUGGCCCUAAAAUCCCCAAAUUUGGCCCCAAAAUUCGCUUUAAAAUCCCAAAAUUUGGCCCCAAAUUUGGCUUUAAAAUCCCAAAAUUUGGCCCCAAAAUUGGCCCCAAAAUCCCCA
Molecule: long non-coding RNA, 1593 nt
Filed under: Zonotrichia albicollis (white-throated sparrow)
Lineage: Eukaryota; Metazoa; Chordata; Aves; Passeriformes; Passerellidae
Description: lncRNA (ENSZALG00000001950.1)
Source: RNAcentral